Molecule: non-coding RNA, 45 nt
Filed under: Schistosoma haematobium
Lineage: Eukaryota; Metazoa; Platyhelminthes; Trematoda; Strigeidida; Schistosomatidae
Source: RNAcentral
AUCCGUCUGACGAGUCCCGAACAGGACGAAACGCGCGUUCUGGAC